This is a long non-coding RNA of Pelmatolapia mariae (spotted tilapia), 1369 nucleotides long. RefSeq lists it as uncharacterized. The transcript has 3 exons. The record is from RefSeq and is a predicted model, not a curated record. NCBI's taxonomy places the organism in Eukaryota, Metazoa, Chordata, Actinopteri, Cichliformes, Cichlidae.
GAGGGUGACUAAGUGAAUGCAGUUUGCCGUCGCGUGUCGCCGUAUCACAGCGAAGUCCACUGGCAGGCGGAUGGAUCGGACCCGAAUCAACAAAUGGAGACAGAAAAACUGGAUGUAUACUGCAUGUGAGGAGAAACCAAGGGAGGAUAUAGAGUCUGCCUUCAUAUCCUUUUAUCUUUGCAUCUAAUACUACUGUGAGGAACCCACAGGGAGGGAAAGAAAAACAGCGGACAACUCAUUUUUCCUCUAACACGUCUGUGAAGCAGAGGAGCUGUGAAUAGAGUGAGCUGUGGGACUCACUGGGAUUUCUGAAUAUAAGCUCAUUGCCAGUGUGUGAGUGUGUGUGUGUGAGAGAGCUGAUAAUAGCAGCUCCAUUGGUAUUCAGCGGAGGGAGCUCCAGGAUCUCGCUGCGCCUUUCCCCAGGAUGGGAUCACAGAGCAGGGAUUGUGCUUGCCUGUGGAGAGCCCGCUGAAAUGGAUCUGAAGCCUCGCAGAGAUGGGCACCAAAUGGACAGCAUGGAAGCCAACAUCCACCCUCCAGCGACCAGCUUUCCACGGCUAACUGCCUCCACCAUCUCCUGCCAUCAGCUCGAACCAUCCGAGCGAGGGCUGAGUCUGCAGAGUUGAGCCUGGACCAGCCGUCUACCGAAAGCAGAGAUAAGCAGAGGGCGACAGGCCUCGGAGGAGUCAACGCGCAACAAGCCAGUCGGCGUGUUGAGCGCACAAUUGAGCUUCUUGGACUUCAUCUAAAAUGAAAUAGGCUGCAGUGAUGCUUGAGCAAUGGUACGGAGCUUUUGGAUAUGUCCGGAUUUAUCAACCGGAUAUAUUUUUGAGAUUACGACACUUUGGUGCACACCUCAGAGCUCAGCCACUUUUUCCAGAUUGGCUUGUGGGCAAAAGCGAGUAAUUGAAAAUCCCCCCUCGAGAGGCGCUCUGUUUUGAUUUGUUGCGGGGGAGGAGGGCCUAUCAUUAUUGUUUUUUUUUCUUCUUUGUUUUUUUGAGGAACAAUUUCCAAAACACCCGGCUUUUAUCCCACAAACUUCCCCCAGUUUCUCUCACAUAUGGAGAAGUACAUUAUGAAGCAGUACCAUUCUUCUUCAUCCUCCCUCAGUGACGGAGAGAGAGGAGGGACAGACUGUCCAGAAUAGAUAACGAGCAAGGAGACUGGCACCGAGGAGAGGAGAAGGAGAACAAAAAAAAGGAAGAAGGAGAAGAAGCAGAAAACGGGGAAACAGGUGGAAAAAGAAAGAGAAGGAAGCCGACAGAGGGGGAAGAAAAAAAGCAGGGACGGCGAGAAAAUAAAGGACAGAAUUAACUAGGAUUGCACAGAAUCUUUUUGGAGACUCUUUGUAAUUCGUGUUGAGGCUAGU